Molecule: long non-coding RNA, 224 nt
Filed under: Elaeis guineensis (African oil palm)
Lineage: Eukaryota; Viridiplantae; Streptophyta; Magnoliopsida; Arecales; Arecaceae
Description: long non-coding RNA (EGUI_LNC011869)
Source: RNAcentral
ACCCAUGCUUUUUAAAAUAAUUUUAGUCCCAUGGUAGAUGGGGGCAUCCAUCCUUUCUCCCAUGACUUCAACCAAACAUCAGAUAAGGGAGAGGCAGGUGACCACCAAUUGGUAAGGUGGUUGCGGGUCAACCAACCUUCAUUAAUGGCAUUAUCAAUUGGAACAUUAAAGGCUAUUGAAGAGAAAGUGCUACCUUAAUAUGAGCAGUUUGGUUUGCUUAUUUG